RNAcentral lists this ribosomal RNA (394 nucleotides) under uncultured bacterium. RNAcentral's name for it is "partial 16S ribosomal RNA". It matches the Rfam family "Bacterial small subunit ribosomal RNA", at positions 523 to 917 of the family's 1533-position model. The record is from RNAcentral.
AUACGUAGGGUGCAAGCGUUAAUCGGAAUUACUGGGCGUAAAGCGUGCGCAGGCGGUUUUGUAAGACAGUGGUGAAAUCCCCGGGCUCAAACUGGGAACUGCCAUUGUGACUGCAAGGCUGGAGUGCGGCAGAGGGGGAUGGAAUUCCGCGUGUAGCAGUGAAAUGCGUAGAUAUGCGGAGGAACACCGAGGGCGAAGGCAAUCCCCUGGGCCUGCACUGACGCUCAUGCGCGAAAGCGUGGGGAGCAAACAGUAUUAGAUACCCUGGUAGUCCACGCCCUAAACGAUGUCAACUGGUUGUUGGGGAUUUAUUUUCUCAGUAGCGAAGCUAACGCGUGAAGUUGACCGCCUGGGGAGUACGGCCGCAAGGUUAAAACUCAAAUGAAUUGACGGG